This 408-nucleotide ribosomal RNA is filed under the name uncultured bacterium. RNAcentral's name for it is "bacterial SSU rRNA". It matches the Rfam family "Bacterial small subunit ribosomal RNA", at positions 28 to 416 of the family's 1533-position model. The record is from RNAcentral.
GACAAACGCUGGCGGCGUGCUUAACACAUGCAAGUCGAACGUGAAAAGGGGGCAACCCCGAGGUAAAGUGGCGUACGGGUGAGUAACGCGUAGGCAAUCUACCCCAAAGUCUGGAAUAACCGGCCGAAAGGCUGGCUAAAUACUGGAUAGAGCGACGGAAUCCGUAAUUGGGUUUUUCGGGAAAGGGAGGGAGCAAUCCCCCCUUGCUUUGGGAUGGGCCGUGCGUCCCCAUCAGCUAGUUGGUAAGGUAACGGCUUACCAAGGCAANGACGGGUAGCUGGUCUGAGAGGAUGAUCAGCCACACUGGAACUGAAACACGGUCCAGACUCCUACGGGAGGGCAGCAGUGGGGAAUCUUGCGCAAUGGACGAAAGUCUGACGCAGCCACGCCGCGUGAGUGAAGAAGGCC